RNAcentral lists this ribosomal RNA (446 nucleotides) under uncultured bacterium. Its description in RNAcentral is "partial 16S ribosomal RNA". It matches the Rfam family "Bacterial small subunit ribosomal RNA", at positions 338 to 795 of the family's 1533-position model. The record is from RNAcentral.
CCUACGGGAGGCAGCAGUCGAGAAUCAUUCACAAUGGGGGAAACCCUGAUGGUGCGACGCCGCGUGGGGGAAUGAAGGUCUUCGGAUUGUAAACCCCUGUCAUGUGGGAGCAAAUUAAAAAGAUAGUACCACAAGAGGGAGAGACGGCUAACUCUGUGCCAGCAGCCGCGGUAAUACAGAGGUCUCAAGCGUUGUUCGGAAUCACUGGGCUUAAAGCGUGCGUAGGCUGUUUCGUAAGUCGUGUGUGAAAGGCGCGGGCUCAACCCGCGGACGGCACAUGAUACUGCGAGACUAGAGUAAUGGAGGGGGAACCGGAAUUCUCGGGGUAGCAGUGAAAUGCGUAGAUAUCGAGAGGAACACUCGUGGCAAAGGCGGGUUCCUGGACAUUAACUGUCGCUGAGGCACGAAGGCCAGGGGAGCGAAAGGGAUUAGAUACCCCAGUAGUC